UACGUAGGGGGCUAGCGUUGUCCGGAAUCAUUGGGCGUAAAGAGCGUGUAGGCGGCCCGGUAAGUCCGCUGUGAAAGUCGGGGGCUCAACCCUCGGAUGCCGGUGGAUACUGUCGGGCUCGAGUACGGAAGAGGCGAGUGGAAUUCCUGGUGUAGCGGUGAAAUGCGCAGAUAUCAGGAGGAACACCAGUGGCGAAGGCGAGUCCCUGGACAACACCUGACACUGAGGCACGAAAGCCGGGGGAGCAAACAGG
This 253-nucleotide ribosomal RNA is filed under the name uncultured bacterium. RNAcentral's name for it is "partial 16S ribosomal RNA". It matches the Rfam family "Bacterial small subunit ribosomal RNA", at positions 524 to 776 of the family's 1533-position model. The record is from RNAcentral.